RNAcentral lists this ribosomal RNA (253 nucleotides) under uncultured bacterium. RNAcentral's name for it is "partial 16S ribosomal RNA". It matches the Rfam family "Bacterial small subunit ribosomal RNA", at positions 524 to 776 of the family's 1533-position model. The record is from RNAcentral.
UACGGGUGGGGCAAGCGUUGUUCGGAAUUACUGGGCGUAAAGGGCUCGUAGGCGGCCAACUAAGUCAGACGUGAAAUCCCUCGGCUUAACCGGGGAACUGCGUCUGAUACUGGAUGGUUUGAAUCCGGGAGAGGGAUGCGGAAUUCCAGGUGUAGCGGUGAAAUGCGUAGAUAUCUGGAGGAACACCGGUGGCGAAGGCGGCAUCCUGGACCGGCAUUGACGCUGAGGAGCGAAAGCCAGGGGAGCAAACGGG